AUGAGAGCCGGAGGCACACCCGGACCAACAAGGAUGCAGACCUCUCCUCCGGCUUACCUGAAGCAUCAAGGAAGCGCCGGACCGAGGUUAUCUCCAACUUAUAUCCUUUUCAUCCUUUGGCGGGCGUCACUCGUCAACCGCUCAAUUCUUCUGAUUCAAACUAUCAGGAAACUUCACCUUCCUCCGGGGACUCCAUGCAAUCUAACUUGCCGGCUUUCAAGACCGCACCCGGGUAAUGAUGAUCAGCUUAUGUUGUGCUUAUCUUACUCAUGUUUUUGCAUUAACCUUUUGACUUUCAGUGCCCAAGCAAAGCUCAGCAAGAGGGCAAAGAAAAGUAACCCGGUCGAAGAGCCGGUCUUGACUGAACCCAACGCCUCUGCUUCGGAGCCGCCGUCUGCACCAGCUCCAGAAACCACCGCUCCAACUGAACAACAAGCCAUGGAGAGUUCUGACAACCCGGAGAUCCCCAGCUCAGCUCAACCGGCCGAUGACCCGGAUGUGGUGAUUACCCGGACCGAAUAUGUUGAGCCGGGAAGACCCACUGUGCUGGCCAGAUGCUCUGCUAAAGAAGAACUGCUGGAGCGCCGCAAGGCCAGACUGGAUAUCACUGACUAUGCUAACUUGAGCAUUGAAGACAUUGUUUCUGGUUAUAUUGGUCAAGUGCAUAACAGCCGGGACCUGAAGAUUGACAUGGUGAAGCAGAUACAGCAAAAAUCCGAGGCUGUCUGCAAGAAAUUUGAAUCGGAAAUCUCUGAGCUGAAGAACCGCCUGAAGACUCAGGAAACUGAGACCCGGAAGGCCAAUGCCAAGUUUGAGUUCAGUGUUGCUGCACAAGAAAAACUGAAGAAAAAUUUGAAACAGAAAGAAAAACUUGGGCCGACGAGAAGACUGCCUUGCUGA
RNAcentral lists this ribosomal RNA (900 nucleotides) under Triticum aestivum (bread wheat). RNAcentral's name for it is "partial small subunit ribosomal RNA". Lineage: Eukaryota; Viridiplantae; Streptophyta; Magnoliopsida; Poales; Poaceae. The record is from RNAcentral.